This 253-nucleotide ribosomal RNA is filed under the name uncultured bacterium. RNAcentral's name for it is "partial 16S ribosomal RNA". It matches the Rfam family "Bacterial small subunit ribosomal RNA", at positions 524 to 776 of the family's 1533-position model. The record is from RNAcentral.
UACGGAAGGGGCUAGCGUUGUUCGGAAUUACUGGGCGUAAAGAGCGCGUAGGCGGCUUACCAAGUUGGGGGUGAAAUCCCGGAGCUCAACUCCGGAACUGCCUUAGAAACUGGUAGGCUCGAGUCCGGAAGAGGGGCGUGGAAUUCCCAGUGUAGAGGUGAAAUUCGUAGAUAUUGGGAAGAACACCGGUGGCGAAGGCGGCUGACUGGUCAGGUACUGACGCUGAGGUGCGAAAGCGUGGGGAGCAAACAGG